RNAcentral lists this ribosomal RNA (245 nucleotides) under uncultured bacterium. RNAcentral describes it as "partial 16S ribosomal RNA". It matches the Rfam family "Bacterial small subunit ribosomal RNA", at positions 528 to 772 of the family's 1533-position model. The record is from RNAcentral.
UAUGGAGCAAGCGUUAUCCGGAUUUACUGGGUGUAAAGGGAGCGUAGGCGGUAAGGCAAGUCUGAUGUGAAAGGCCGGGGCUCAACCCUGGGACUGCAUUGGAAACUGUUUAACUGGAGUGUCGGAGAGGCAAGUGGAAUUCCUAGUGUAGCGGUGAAAUGCGUAGAUAUUAGGAGGAACACCAGUGGCGAAGGCGGCUUGCUGGACGAUGACUGACGCUGAGGCUCGAAAGCGUGGGGAGCAAA